RNAcentral lists this small RNA (206 nucleotides) under Streptomyces sp. RNAcentral describes it as "c-di-AMP sequence". It matches the Rfam family "c-di-AMP riboswitch aptamer (ydaO/yuaA leader)". From Rfam's summary of the family: This family represents a conserved RNA structure found upstream of the ydaO and yuaA genes in Bacillus subtilis and related genes in other bacteria. The record is from RNAcentral. Lineage: Bacteria; Bacillati; Actinomycetota; Actinomycetes; Kitasatosporales; Streptomycetaceae.
UCCGGGCGGACGCCGAGUCCUGCCGCCGUCCCGGACGUCUGGUCGACAGGAUUGGAUCGGCAGGAGUGGAGGACCCGAGCAGUACGGGUCGCACGCGCUGUUUCCGCAGCGGGUCGGCCCUUGGGGUGAAGCCGCGACCGCGGCCGGGCAUCUUCGCCUGCCCGAACCCGACAGGUCAUCCUUCACAGGCGGCUGACGAAGGGUUG